GAUGAAGAACGUAGCGAAAUGCGAUAAGUAGUGUGAAUUGCAGACUUUAGUGAAUCAUCGAAUCUUUGAACGCACAUUGCGCCCCUUGGUAUUCCAUUGGGCAUGCCUGUUCGAGCGUCAUUUAACCCUUCAAGCUAUGCUUGGUGUUGGGCGCUUGUCCUCGUCAUCUGCGCGGACUCGCCCUAAAUCUAUUGGCAGCAGCUCAGCCAGCUUCUUGCGCAGCACAUUCGCGUCCAAGGCUUUUGGCGAGCUUGCGUCCACCUAAGGACCUUAUUUUUGACCUCGAAUCAGGUAGGGAUACCCGCUGAACUUAAGCAUAUCAAUAAGCGGAGGA
Molecule: unclassified non-coding RNA, 334 nt
Filed under: soil metagenome
Description: partial contains 5.8S ribosomal RNA, internal transcribed spacer 2, and large subunit ribosomal RNA
Rfam family: 5.8S ribosomal RNA (bases 1-120)
Source: RNAcentral